GUGGAUUAGAUACCCUAGUAGUCCACGCCGUAAACGAUGGAUACUAGCUGUAGGAGGUAUCGACCCCUUCUGUAGCGAAGCUAACGCGUUAAGUAUCCCGCCUGUGGAGUACGGCCGCAAGGCUAAAACAUAAAGGAAUUGACGGGGACCCGCACAAGCGGUGGAUCGUGUUCUUUAAUUCGAUGAUAAACGAAGAACCUUACCAGGGCUUGACAUCCAGGGAAAGACUGCGAAAGUAGUCUGUGCCUUUUGGAACCCGGUGACAGGUGAUGCACGGUCGUCGCCAGCU
RNAcentral lists this ribosomal RNA (289 nucleotides) under uncultured bacterium. RNAcentral's name for it is "partial 16S ribosomal RNA". It matches the Rfam family "Bacterial small subunit ribosomal RNA", at positions 773 to 1060 of the family's 1533-position model. The record is from RNAcentral.